UGUCUUUUGAGUACCUUCGUUUCCUCGGCGGGUUCGCCCGCCGAUUGGACAAUUUAAACCAUUUGCAGUUGCAAUCAGCGUCUGAAAAAACAUAAUAGUUACAACUUUCAACAACGGAUCUCUUGGUUCUGGCAUCGAUGAAGAACGCAGCGAAAUGCGAUAAGUAGUGUGAAUUGCAGAAUUCAGUGAAUCAUCGAAUCUUUGAACGCACAUUGCGCCCCUUGGUAUUCCAUGGGGCAUGCCUGUUCGAGCGUCAUUUGUACCUUCAAGCUCUGCUUGGUGUUGGGUGUUUGUCUCGCCUCUGCGCGUAGACUCGCCUCAAAACAAUUGGCAGCCGGCGUAUUGAUUUCGGAGCGCAGUACAUCUCGCGCUUUGCAUUCAGAACGACGACGUCCAAAAGUACAUUUU
This 408-nucleotide ribosomal RNA is filed under the name uncultured Phoma. RNAcentral's name for it is "eukaryotic LSU rRNA". The stretch from base 103 to 256 matches the Rfam family "5.8S ribosomal RNA". RNAcentral also lists the same sequence under 1 other name. Lineage: Eukaryota; Fungi; Ascomycota. The record is from RNAcentral.